GAUGAACGCUGGCGGCGUGCCUAAUACAUGCAAGUCGAGCGAACAGACGAGGAGCUUGCUCCUCUGACGUUAGCGGCGGACGGGUGAGUAACACGUGGAUAACCUACCUAUAAGACUGGGAUAACUUCGGGAAACCGGAGCUAAUACCGGAUAAUAUAUUGAACCGCAUGGUUCAAUAGUGAAAGACGGUUUUGCUGUCACUUAUAGAUGGAUCCGCGCCGCAUUAGCUAGUUGGUAAGGUAACGGCUUACCAAGGCAACGAUGCGUAGCCGACCUGAGAGGGGGAUCGGCCACACGGGAACUGAGACACGGACCAGACUACUACGGGAGGCAGCAGUAGGGAAUCUUCCGCAAUGGGCGAAAGCCUGACGGAGCAACGCCGCGUGAGUGAUGAAGGUCUUCGGAUCGUAAAACUCUGUUAUUAGGGAAGAACAAAUGUGUAAGUAACUAUGCACGUCUUGACGGUACCUAAUCAGAAAGCCACGGCUAACUACGUG
Molecule: ribosomal RNA, 497 nt
Filed under: uncultured bacterium
Lineage: Bacteria
Description: partial 16S ribosomal RNA
Rfam family: Bacterial small subunit ribosomal RNA
Source: RNAcentral